This 501-nucleotide ribosomal RNA is filed under the name Triticum aestivum (bread wheat). Its description in RNAcentral is "partial small subunit ribosomal RNA". Lineage: Eukaryota; Viridiplantae; Streptophyta; Magnoliopsida; Poales; Poaceae. The record is from RNAcentral.
AUGAUUGAGAUCUUACAAAACACAGAGGUGACUGAGACUGAAGAUGUUGACCAAAAUGCAUCAGUACACAUGAUUUCCAUUUCUGCGGCAGCUCUUGGCAGUAACUCUGGAAAAUCUGCCAGAACUAUGCAACUAAAGAUUCAAUUACAUGGGCACAAUUACACCUUCUUGAUGGACUCAGGAAGCACACACUCAUUUCUUCACAGUUUGUUGCAAGCUGAGUUGCAAGGAGCAGUACCUAUGAAACCUGUAUCUGUCAGAAUUGCUAAUGGAGAUACUGUUACUUGUUCCAGUCAACCGCUGAACUGCAACUGGAGUUGUUCGCGUCACAAGUUCGUGUCUGAUUUUAAAUUUUUCCCCAUGGGCAGUUAUGAUGGAAUCAUUGGACUGGAUUGGCUCUCUUCUCAUAGUCCAAUGCUAGUUGAUUGGGAAAACCAUUGGAUAUCCUUCCAGCAUAAUAAUGACAAUAUCACAAUCUUGGGAAGCAACAAUUAUUCCUGA